This is a non-coding RNA of Schistosoma haematobium, 45 nucleotides long. NCBI's taxonomy places the organism in Eukaryota, Metazoa, Platyhelminthes, Trematoda, Strigeidida, Schistosomatidae. The record is from Rfam.
AUCCAGCUGACGCGUACCAAAUAGGAUGAAACACUCGUCCUGGAU